GAUGAACGCUGGCGGCGUGCCUAAUACAUGCAAGUCGAGCGAACGGACGAGAAGCUUGCUUCUCUGAUGUUAGCGGCGGACGGGUGAGUAACACGUGGAUAACCUACCUAUAAGACUGGGAUAACUUCGGGAAACCGGAGCUAAUACCGGAUAAUAUUUUGAACCGCAUGGUUCAAAAGUGAAAGACGGUCUUGCUGUCACUUAUAGAUGGAUCCGCGCUGCAUUAGCUAGUUGGUAAGGUAACGGCUUACCAAGGCAACGAUGCAUAGCCGACCUGAGAGGGUGAUCGGCCACAUUGGAACUGAGACACGGUCCAGACUCCUACGGGAGGCAGCAGUAGGGAAUCUUCCGCAAUGGGCGAAAGCCUGACGGAGCAACGCCGCGUGAGUGAUGAAGGUCUUCGGAUCGUAAAACUCUGUUAUUAGGGAAGAACAUAUGUGUAAGUAACUGUGCACAUCUUGACGGUACCUAAUCAGAAAGCCACGGCUAACUACGUGCCAGCAGCCGCGGUAAUACGUAGGUGGCAAGCGUUAUCCGGAAUUAUUGGGCGUAAAGCGCGCGUAGGCGGUUUUUUAAGUCUGAUGUGAAAGCCCACGGCUCAACCGUGGAGGGUCAUUGGAAACUGGAAAACUUGAGUGCAGAAGAGGAAAGUGGAAUCCCAUGUGUAGCGGUGAAAUGCGCAGAGAUAUGGAGGAACACCAGUGGCGAAGGCGACUUUCUGGUCUGUAACUGACGCUGAUGUGCGAAAGCGUGGGGAUCAAACAGGAUUAGAUACCCUGGUAGUCCACGCCGUAAACGAUGAGUGCUAAGUGUUAGGGGGUUUCCGCCCCUUAGUGCUGCAGCUAACGCAUUAAGCACUCCGCCUGGGGAGUACGACCGCAAGGUUGAAACUCAAAGGAAUUGACGGGGACCCGCACAAGCGGUGGAGCAUGUGGUUUAAUUCGAAGCAACGCGAAGAACCUUACCAAAUCUUGACAUCCUUUGACAACUCUAGAGAUAGAGCCUUCCCCUUCGGGGGACAAAGUGACAGGUGGUGCAUGGUUGUCGUCAGCUCGUGUCGUGAGAUGUUGGGUUAAGUCCCGCAACGAGCGCAACCCUUAAGCUUAGUUGCCAUCAUUAAGUUGGGCACUCUAAGUUGACUGCCGGUGACAAACUGGAGGAAGGUGGGGAUGACGUCAAAUCAUCAUGCCCCUUAUGAUUUGGGCUACACACGUGCUACAAUGGACAAUACAAAGGGCAGCGAAACCGCGAGGUCAAGCAAAUCCCAUAAAGUUGUUCUCAGUUCGGAUUGUAGUCUGCAACUCGACUACAUGAAGCUGGAAUCGCUAGUAAUCGUAGAUCAGCAUGCUACGGUGAAUACGUUCCCGGGUCU
Molecule: ribosomal RNA, 1372 nt
Filed under: uncultured bacterium
Lineage: Bacteria
Description: bacterial SSU rRNA
Rfam family: Bacterial small subunit ribosomal RNA
Source: RNAcentral